RNAcentral lists this ribosomal RNA (684 nucleotides) under Limosilactobacillus vaginalis. RNAcentral describes it as "bacterial SSU rRNA". It matches the Rfam family "Bacterial small subunit ribosomal RNA", at positions 373 to 1048 of the family's 1533-position model. Lineage: Bacteria; Bacillati; Bacillota; Bacilli; Lactobacillales; Lactobacillaceae. The record is from RNAcentral.
GGGCGCAAGCCUGAUGGAGCAACACCGCGUGAGUGAAGAAGGGUUUCGGCUCGUAAAGCUCUGUUGUUGGAGAAGAACGUGCGUGAGAGUAACUGUUCACGCAGUGACGGUAUCCAACCAGAAAGUCACGGCUAACUACGUGCCAGCAGCCGCGGUAAUACGUAGGUGGCAAGCGUUAUCCGGAUUUAUUGGGCGUAAAGCGAGCGCAGGCGGUUGCUUAGGUCUGAUGUGAAAGCCUUCGGCUUAACCGAAGAAGUGCAUCGGAAACCGGGCGACUUGAGUGCAGAAGAGGACAGUGGAACUCCAUGUGUAGCGGUGGAAUGCGUAGAUAUAUGGAAGAACAUCAGUGGCGAAGGCGGCUGUCUAGUCUGCAACUGACGCUGAGGCUCGAAAGCAUGGGUAGCGAACAGGAUUAGAUACCCUGGUAGUCCAUGCCGUAAACGAUGAGUGCUAGGUGUUGGAGGGUUUCCGCCCUUCAGUGCCGGAGCUAACGCAUUAAGCACUCCGCCUGGGGAGUACGACCGCAAGGUUGAAACUCAAUGGAAUUGACGGGGGCCCGCACAAGCGGUGGAGCAUGUGGUUUAAUUCGAAGCUACGCGAAGAACCUUACCAGGUCUUGACAUCUUGCGCUAACCUAAGAGAUUAGGCGUUCCCUACGGGGACGCAAUGACAGGUGGUGCAUGG